This is a long non-coding RNA of Octopus sinensis (East Asian common octopus), 333 nucleotides long. RefSeq lists it as uncharacterized. The record is from RefSeq and is a predicted model, not a curated record. Lineage: Eukaryota; Metazoa; Mollusca; Cephalopoda; Octopoda; Octopodidae. The transcript is spliced from 3 exons.
AUGCCAGCAGUCAUACAUAACAUUGCUUUUUUCUACAUGCUGACAAAACAAAGCAACUGAUAAGGUAUUUUUUUUACCUAAACUAAUCAGCCACAACUAAUGAUUGUUCAAUUAACUUAAUGACAUCGUCGACCAUAGAUUUCCAGGUCUCUUCAAUAAACAAGAAUGCACCAAGUAAACUGUUAAUAAUGGAAUGGAAAUACAGUAUCAACGUUGUGUGGCUACGGCCAGCAUCGUAAAUCAUCAGAUAUUAUCAUCAGGCUUGUUUCUUGGCGGAUAAUGUACACUAUCCUAAAGUACUUCUCGAAGAAAAUGUCAAAUAAAACUAUGCCU